Molecule: long non-coding RNA, 1084 nt
Organism: Phyllostomus hastatus (greater spear-nosed bat)
Lineage: Eukaryota; Metazoa; Chordata; Mammalia; Chiroptera; Phyllostomidae
Exons: 2
Source: RefSeq, a predicted model, not a curated record
CCCAGCAACAUGCGCCCCAUGAAACAGGCCAGGCUCCUCACUGCUGCCUCCUCAUUCCUGCUGUGGAACAGACCAUGAAGCUUCCAUCGCAACCGAGAACCUUCUAAGACCCAGCAAGGUAUGGUUUCGCCAGGUGCUGACUUCAUGGACUCUCAAAAGAAAUCGGGUGUGGAAGGAAACAGGAGGCGAGUCUGCAGCAGGCUUUAACUGAAGCGCACCUUGAACUGCCAACGGUCUCCCAAGGCUGACGGCUAGGUUUAUGGGGCAGGUCUUGCCUGACGAACUUGGGAAGGUUCUCUGCAGAUAGAAUGGUGUGCUUGGCCGGCAGCACGCUGCUGACAGCACCCCAUCGAAGGAGGGCAUUUGGUGAGACUCCGUAUCAAAGUGUGCUGCUUGUCCCUCGAGGUCAGGCUAGGGCGAGCCUCAGAGACCACAACAGAGCUGAGGAGGAGGAGCAGUGAGAUACCUUCUCCAGCCCAAAAGAACCUUCCAGAAGGGCACCUCAGGGGACUGCUUUCAGCUCUCCUGUUUACAUUAGUCAUCAGCGUCUUGGGGAACAAAAUGGGACAAUGAAGAUUCCAAGGGGACAAAUAACACGCAGUGGUAACAUUUGAAGUCCAAAGCUCUCUGCUUAUGGUGUUGUCACUCUUGCUGCAAAGGGCGUUGUGACUGAGGAGCGGGUCACAGCCUCCAUCGGAGGUGCACGGAAGCCCACACAAAUGUCUAUAGGCAUUUAAGGGGAGGGGAAAAAUAAGCAGACCUCUCCACAUUUCUACUGACUACUGGGGGGACAAAAACCCAGUGAAAUGCAAACUUGAGAAUUUAAAAAGAAUAGUACUUUUCUAACCUAUCAACAAGAUUUAGAAGAAAAAUAAUUCUAACUUAUAAAUAGUGAAUGUCGAUCUAUAUUGUAUUAACUGGCCUUCGACAAAGACUUUGCCCACCGAUGUGCUGGGGAACGCAUGGCAAACAGAUCAACAACAGUAGGAGGGUUUGAGAAAAGAAGGAACCCAGAAACACACACACUGAGCAUGCAAGAUAAUAUUAAAAGUUUGGGAAAAAUAAAUAUAUUUAUCAAAAAGCA